CAGCAGCCGCGGUAAUACAGAGGGUGCGAGCGUUAAUCGGAUUUACUGGGCGUAAAGCGUGCGUAGGCGGCUUCUUAAGUCGGAUGUGAAAUCCCUGAGCUUAACUUAGGAAUUGCAUUCGAUACUGGGAAGCUAGAGUAUGGGAGAGGAUGGUAGAAUUCCAGGUGUAGCGGUGAAAUGCGUAGAGAUCUGGAGGAAUACCGAUGGCGAAGGCAGCCAUCUGGCCUAAUACUGACGCUGAGGUACGAAAGCAUGGGGAGCAAACAGGAUUAGAUACCCCGUAGUCCCUGUCUCUUAUACA
This 301-nucleotide ribosomal RNA is filed under the name uncultured bacterium. RNAcentral's name for it is "partial 16S ribosomal RNA". It matches the Rfam family "Bacterial small subunit ribosomal RNA", at positions 509 to 808 of the family's 1533-position model. The record is from RNAcentral.